RNAcentral lists this ribosomal RNA (381 nucleotides) under Dermacentor variabilis (American dog tick). Its description in RNAcentral is "partial 16S ribosomal RNA". The stretch from base 226 to 379 matches the Rfam family "Bacterial large subunit ribosomal RNA", at positions 2473 to 2632 of the family's 2925-position model. Lineage: Eukaryota; Metazoa; Arthropoda; Arachnida; Ixodida; Ixodidae. The record is from RNAcentral.
AUUAUUCCGCUGUUAUCCCUAGAGUAUUUUUCUCAAAUAAUCAUUAAUAAUGGGUCAUUUUAUUAUAUAAAAAGUUUUUGGGCAAGAAGACCCUAUGAAUUUUAAAAUAAUUAAUUUCUUAUAAGAAAUUAAUUAUUUUUAGUUGGGGCAACUAGAAAAUAUUAUAAACUUUUUAUAUAAUAAAAUGACCCAUUAUUAAUGAUUAUUUGAGAAAAAUACUCUAGGGAUAACAGCGUAAUAAUUUUUGAUAGAACCUAUAGACAAAAUAGUUUGCGACCUCGAUGUUGGAUUAGGAUACUUUUUUAAUGAAGAUGUUAAAAAAAGAAGUUUGUUCAACUUUUAAAGUCCUACUUGAUCUGAGUUCAGACCGGAUCCGGUAUU